UGGGGGAUUUUGCACAAUGGGCGCAAGCCUGAUGCAGCGACGCCGCGUGAGGGAUGAAGGCCUUCGGGUUGUAAACCUCUUUCGCUGGGUUGAAAGGCCAUGCUUUGGGUGUGGUUGAUUUGAACUGGUAAAGAAGUACCGGCUAACUACGUGCCAGCAGCCGCGGUAAUACGUAGGGUACUAGCGUUGUCCGGAUUUAUUGGGCGUAAAGGGCUUGUAGGUGGUUUGUCGCGUCUGUCGUGAAAUCCUGUGGCUUAACUAUGGGCUUGCGGUGGGUACGGGCAGGCUUGAGUGCGGUAGGGGAGACUGGAAUUCCUGGUGUAGCGGUGGAAUGCGCAGAUAUCAGGAGGAACACCGGUGGCGAAGGCGGGUCUCUGGGCCGUUACUGACACUGAGGAGCGAAAGCGUGGGGAGCGAACAGG
RNAcentral lists this ribosomal RNA (422 nucleotides) under Fusobacteriota bacterium. Its description in RNAcentral is "Fusobacteria bacterium partial 16S ribosomal RNA". It matches the Rfam family "Bacterial small subunit ribosomal RNA", at positions 355 to 776 of the family's 1533-position model. Lineage: Bacteria; Fusobacteriati; Fusobacteriota. The record is from RNAcentral.